UGCGGGAAGCGAUGCUGCCUUGACCGAUACCUCGUUGACGCACAGACUUCCACUGCCUGAGAGUAAAGAAGUUACGCUCGAGAAACCUACGAAAAAAUUGUGGUUACAAAGCACUGUGCAAAACAAUAAAUACGACCACGCAAACUUUCGUCUCAAUCCAUCGGUAUAGCGCAUAGGAAAUGCACAAAGACGAAAAUCUGCGUGGUCGUAUUAAUUUUUUUUGCGCAUAGCAACCACGAUUCUUUUGUGCAUUUCUCUGGCAUAAAUUAUUUACUGUGUGGUGGCAGAAGUCUUUCUCACAAGUAGAUAUAGCACCACAGGCGAAAAUGUGACUGACCUUUUAUAGCACCCACCCUGUACAAAGCUGUGAAAGGGAGGAUGAUCCUCCCCUUCAGUUCCCUCUUCUAUGCUUCUGCUGAUAGCGGCAUCAAGGUUGAAACGACAAAUCUCUCUUAACCAACAGUGAGGAGAUAACAAGGAAAUGCCGGUCACCGCGUGUUUCGUUUUGUUUUGAUUCGAUUCGCAAUUCGAACAUAUAAUUCCGUAUUCAAUACGAGAAACAGUUAUGCGCCUGGAUAUCCGAAAUAUUGCAAUGUUCCCACAGCACAAAUGGAUAGUUCCAACUCAAAUCGAACAAUCCGGUACACUUGAUGUCUCGAAUGAACGGGAAAAAAAUGUGUGUUGAAGCCAUCGGUGAGUUAGGAGAAAUAAACGCUUUCCGAAAUCUCUGCACUGCGCGGUUCGGGAAAUAGGAGAGGAGGAACAAAAGUGUACAAAAGAGUACUCUCUUACUUUUCCUCUCUCUUUUCUGCCUCUCAUAAGACGAUGUUGUCGCGCGCGGAUUUGAGCGUUCGCUACAAGGCUAUUUAUUGUCGCAUCUUAGGAAUUUCUUGAUCUGGCUUUAGACCACUUAGGGCACAAUAGGAUCCUGCGUUGGCAGUGCUGUGUCCGUUUUUGUUUGUCUGCAAAAAAAUAUCAAAGUUGACUCAAAGUGCCGAAAGGCACCAUAUUCACUGCAACUUUGCGGACGAUGUACAAAACGGAUAAGAUUGAGCUUUAUGCCGUUUAAUCUGUCAUUCAUGGGGCUAUCGAAUGAUGUAUAAUUUGUUGCUCUACUCCCUCAGGAAUCUAAGCGAUACCUCUUUUAGUAGCACCAUACCAGCGAAAAAUGACGAAUAUCGGAAGCCUUUAUUAAAACAAAACCACUAAAAACUUGCCUCGAAAAUUUUAUAUGUUGUAGGUAAUUCUUUAGACUAUGCACAGAAGAAAAAUCAAAAUUCGGACUUGAUCGGUAGGCGCACUGUUAAUUUUUUGACAGCCCUGUACGCGGAGCGCAUUCAAGCCGUGGCACCGUGCCCCGCGUGUUGCAAAAUCAAAUUUUCCAAAGGGACUUUCACCUUCUGUCUUCACAUAAAAAGUAAUUGCUAUCAUUUGGAACCGUUCUGAGCGCUUGCGCUCAUAAUAGUGUUGUAAUCGCUGAAUGUAGAUUGUGGAGCAACCAGAUGUGCUCACAUUUUUUGCGGGAUGACACACAUGCAUUGCAAGUGCUGGGGGCCCGUGAAGAACAGAAUGCUUUAGGAUACUUUUGCGUCUUUAUAAGAGGUAUAUUUGUCCACGGUGAUAAUAUCGAAGCAUAUUUACAGUACACAGAAUAACAACAACUUGACACCGAAUAAGACAAGGUAAUGAAGGUAAGAAGGUAACGUAAGUUAUGCAGAGCAUUCCGGGAGGAUGAGAGUGCUCGUGUCAUGAACCGCUUUAGGCUGUUGUAGGAGCCACUUUGCUUAGUGUUACUUUUGGUGGCAGGUUCUUGUCAGAUUUUCUGGAUAGGCUCUUCUCACGUUACAUGCUAACUCGCUGCAAUCCUUGCACUUAGCCCUGGAUGUUCCUCGCAAGGCAACACCGAGUCUUUCUGCCCAUUUUUUUCAAGUAUUUCGGAGUGUUUCUCUGUGCAUAUGCUUCAGUCGACUUCCUUCUUGGCUUAGGCGGUGUGACGUUAAUAGCUUCAGGUUAUAUAUAUAUAUAUACUCAUACUCAUUGAUUUCUUCGACCACGUUGGGCUGGUGCACAAACGGCUCACCGAGUGGGCUUCUUUCAAAUGUGGGUAACAUUGCUGCGUGUUGCGAUUCAGCCACCUUUGCUGUGAAGCACUUGAAGCAGCUUCUGCAUUGCUGGCCCAUUUCUGUUACACCUUCGGCUUGAUCUGCUGGAACCACAGUCUUUAUGGCAGCUACGCCGGUCUCCGAGGCAAAGCGAAAGUCGUUUGUCAAUAGCACUUUUUUUCUUGUGUAUGAGGCGGUAGUCAACGAAAUACACACGAUCAGCGCUGUAUAACGAAGAGGCCAUUGAGGUAGGUGUGAUGCCACGACGACACACUAUACAGUAAUGCAGAUGUGCGAUUUGACCUCGAAGCCUUCGAUGAUGUAUUGCUAUGGUGUACCUGAAUCCUGGGCAUCAUCUGUUGUAGUUGCACACAGUUUUAAUAGCAGAACUGAUUACAUAACGCGAGUCGUCACCGAUAGGACUUCACGUACCGCGCGUCUCUUGCGCUCUACGCAGUUCUCCCGCACCGUGCACCGGCGGAGAGCAGACCGUUUUGACGAUGAUCGCACGGGAGGGCGCUGCACGUCGCAGGAUUGCUGCGCACACCGCUCCGCGGCCAGCUCGCAUAUGGAAGGGCACCGUGUACCAGGUGACCCAAACUCCUUCAGAAUCGUCGUCAAAUGAUGGAGGCUGCCAUAUUGUGCCCCCGAGUUGUCCAACCAGAGUUGAUGCAUCCUGCUAGUUUUGGCGAAAGAAAUCUUAACUAUGUAAUCGUUCUGUUUUUCCUGCUUUCUCUUGCUCAUACCAAAAAAAAGUUUCGUAGAUGACCGAACAAAACGAUUAGAAACAGAAAUGAGUUGCGUACUGUGCAUUUUACCAUUCUAUUUAGAUAGACGUGGUUCACCUCAAUGCAGGUUUCUGUUUCUGCUUUGUGGCUGUCAGACCAUAAGCUGCACCAAGGUAACUUUAAUUAGCGCCUCAAGGCGCUUGUUAAAACCGCUACAAAACACUCCUUAUCGGCAAUCAUCUGCGUUUGCUUUCCGGUUUCCUGUGGCAAUAAGGUGAACAUACCAUGCAAAUGCGCCGUAGAGGGCUGUAAUCGAAGGUGGGACAGAGGAUAAGGAGGACCUUUCCGCAAAGAUCCAGAAUUCCACACCCUUCAUGCACUUGCGCUGACAUCUUUCCAGCUUGCAUAUGCUAUGUACAUAUAAAUGAAUACAACGGUGUUUCAGACGGAGCUGAAA
Long non-coding RNA from Ornithodoros turicata, 3287 nucleotides. RefSeq lists it as uncharacterized. The record is from RefSeq and is a predicted model, not a curated record. NCBI's taxonomy places the organism in Eukaryota, Metazoa, Arthropoda, Arachnida, Ixodida, Argasidae. The transcript is spliced from 2 exons.